GUGCUCACUUCAGCAGCACAUGUACUAAAAUUGGAACGAUACAGAGGAGAUUAGCACGGCCCCUGCGUGAGGAUGACACGCAAAUUCAUGAAGCGUUCCAUAUUUAA
Molecule: small nuclear RNA, 107 nt
Filed under: Choloepus hoffmanni (Hoffmann's two-fingered sloth)
Lineage: Eukaryota; Metazoa; Chordata; Mammalia; Pilosa; Megalonychidae
Source: RNAcentral